This 56-nucleotide ribosomal RNA is filed under the name Meloidogyne enterolobii. RNAcentral's name for it is "partial 28S ribosomal RNA". The record is from RNAcentral. Lineage: Eukaryota; Metazoa; Nematoda; Chromadorea; Rhabditida; Meloidogynidae.
GACCUGAACUCAGUCGAGAGCACCCGCUGAACUUAAGCAUAUCAUUUAGCGGAGGA